Molecule: long non-coding RNA, 603 nt
Filed under: Homo sapiens (human)
Lineage: Eukaryota; Metazoa; Chordata; Mammalia; Primates; Hominidae
Description: long non-coding RNA NONHSAT209848.1
Source: RNAcentral
CCAUGUUAGCCAGGAUGGUCUUGAUUUUCUGACCUUGUAAUCCGGCUGCCUCAGCCUCCCAAAGUGCUGGGAUUACAAGCGUGAGCCACUGCGCCCGGCCUAGUUGAGGAGUAAAUGGACUGGAUUAAAGUUAAACCAUAACCCCAAAUUCAGGUUCUUACUAAACCUCUUCAAAGAAAUGGCAGCAUGAUGAGCUUUGAAAAUGUGAAAGAAAAGAGCAGAGAAGGAGGGCCCCAUGCACACACACCCGAAGAAGAAUUGUGUUUCGUGGUAACACACUACCCUCAGGUUCAGACCACACUCAACCUGUUUUUCCAUAUAUUCAAGGUUCUUACUCAACCACUUUCCCUUCUGUGGGGUUGUGAUCAGAAGCCUCGUACUGUUCCUACCCUUGGAAACGGCGCAUGGGAUACCUGCCAACAACACAUACGCACUUCAUCAUGGACAGCAAACACACUCGUCAUUCAAAACCAGCAUUCACGGGAAAGCACUGUUUCUGUUUGCCUUUUUAUGUUAAUCCGCAUGCAACAUAUUUUGAAAACAGAUACACUUCAACAGUUCAGAAUAUGCUAGUACUAAUAAAACCAACAUGUUACAUGCUGA